RNAcentral lists this ribosomal RNA (413 nucleotides) under uncultured Glomus. RNAcentral's name for it is "SSU rRNA". It matches the Rfam family "Eukaryotic small subunit ribosomal RNA", at positions 569 to 987 of the family's 1831-position model. Lineage: Eukaryota; Fungi; Glomeromycota; Glomeromycetes; Glomerales; Glomeraceae. The record is from RNAcentral.
AGCAGCCGCGGUAAUUCCAGCUCCAAUAGCGUAUAUUAAAGUUGUUGCAGUUAAAAAGCUCGUAGUUGAAUUUCGGGAUUAGUACGCUGGUCGUGCCUUCGGUACGUACUGGUGUUACUGAUUCCUACCUUCUGAAGAACCGUCAUGUCAUUAAUUUGAUGUGGCGGGGAAUCAGGACUGUUACUUUGAAAAAUUAGAGUGUUUAAAGCAGGCUCGCGCUUGAAUACAUUAGCAUGGAAUAAUGAAAUAGGACGUUCGAUCCUAUUUUGUUGGUUUCUAGGAUUGACGUAAUGAUUAAUAGGGAUAGUUGGGGGCAUUAGUAUUCAAUUGUCAGGGGUGAAAUUCUUGGAUUUAUUGAAGACUAACUACUGCGAAAGCAUUUGCCAAGGAUGUUUUCAUUAAUCAAGAACGAA